Molecule: ribosomal RNA, 465 nt
Filed under: uncultured bacterium
Lineage: Bacteria
Description: partial 16S ribosomal RNA
Rfam family: Bacterial small subunit ribosomal RNA
Source: RNAcentral
CCUACGGGUGGCAGCAGUGGGGAAUAUUGCGCAAUGGGCGAAAGCCUGACGCAGCGACGCCGCGUGAGGGAUGAAGGUCUUCGGAUCGUAAACCUCUGUCAGCAGGGAAGAACGGUCACUGUGCUAAUCAGCAGUGAAUUGACGGUACCUGCAAAGGAAGCACCGGCUAACUCCGUGCCAGCAGCCGCGGUAAUACGGAGGGUGCGAGCGUUAAUCGGAAUUACUGGGCGUAAAGCGCGCGUAGGCGGUAUGUCAAGUCAAGGGUGAAAUCCUCGGGCUCAACGUGUGAACUGCCUUUGAAACUGGCAAACUGGAGUGUGUGAGAGGAUAGUGGAAUUCCAGGUGUAGGAGUGAAAUCCGUAGAUAUCUGGAGGAACAUCAGUGGCGAAGGCGACUAUCUGGAACAUAACUGACGCUGAGGAGCGAAAGCGUGGGUAGCAAACAGGAUUAGAUACCCCUGUAGUC